UUGUGCCUAGUUCAAGCUGAGCUGGUGAAGUCUGGUUAGGACCACCAACCCUCCAACUGGGCAUGUGCAAGUGUCCUCCUGGUGACCUUUUGACGUCUGAGGACUGAAAUCUCCCCCCUCAGGUCAUGCUAAGUGCCUUCAUUUUUUUAACCUGCAGAGACCGUAGCUUGGUUACACCUGUACAGAAAGGCUAUCCCCAAACUUUUUUCCAGCCGCCUUUCCCCACGCUCCCUACGCCUCAGACCACCCUGCUGCUUUAUUCUUUAUCCUGCAAAUACCCCAGCCCCUUGUGACCCAGGGAGGCAGAUCUGAAGUUUGUUCUAUCUCCUUGCUUGGCUGACUUGAGAAUAAACCCUCUCUUCGUUGCAAACCUCGGCUUGCUGCAGAAUGAGCCUGGUUCGGUAACGAGAGCGUGGCCAGAGAGAGGGGCUUUGCUUUCUGAAGCUUCGAGAAGGGAUGAUUUCAUGGUAAAAAGUCCUGUGUGAUGUGCCGGGUGGAGAGUGGCAAAGGGUCUGUCGACUGGAGGAGCAGAGAGCUGUCCACUGGAGCCUGCGUGCAAGGCAAGGUUGUACCACCAAAUUUGGAGUUUUCGGAGCUUCGGGGGAAUUCGGGCGUUGCAGAUAAGGGAUUGUGGAGAUGAACAUCAAAGGAAAUACAUGUAUAUACAUAACAACGGAUAUUUAUUGGAUGUAGGCAAAGGACUGACCCAACUGGAGGUACACUUUUGAAGGACACUCUCACUGCUCCGUGGAGAACAGAUUAGCAAGAAUAUGAGUGAACAUCUGGAGACAGAUGAGGAGGCUCCUGCAAUAAUCUAGGUAAAUGCCUUGGGGAGCUGGACUGGUCCAGCUGCAGUAAGGAAGGCAAAAGACACAAGCACUUGAGAGAGGUGGAAGUAGAAUCAUUAGGAUUGGAAUUCUGUUUCCAGGUGACUUCCUGAAUCGUCUCUUUUUUUUUUUUUACCUUUUUUUUUAAAUUGUGGUGCCAUAUAGAUAACAUAAAAUUUACCAUUAUCCAUUUUUAAGUGUAGGGUUCUGUGGCAUGACGUUCAUUCAUGUGGUUGUAAAACCAUCACCACCAUCCAUCUCUGGAACUUUUUCAUCACUCCAGACAGAAACUCCACAUCCACUCAACAAUAACUCCCCACCACCCCUCCCCUCAACCCUGAUAACCUCAAUUCUACUUUCUGUUUCUGUGAAUCUAUCACCUCUAGACACCUCAUGUAAAUGGAAUCAUUUGUCCUUUGCAUCUGGCUUAUUUCACUCAGCAUAAUGUCUUCAAGGUUCAUCUGUAUUGUAGCAGGUGCCAGAAUUGUCUUAUUAUGGCUGAAUCCUAGUCCAUGGUCUAUUUAUAGCACCUGUUGUUUAUCCGUUCAUCUGUGGACGAGCACUUGCGCUGUUUCCACA
Molecule: non-coding RNA, 1406 nt
Organism: Sus scrofa (pig)
Lineage: Eukaryota; Metazoa; Chordata; Mammalia; Artiodactyla; Suidae
Source: RefSeq, a predicted model, not a curated record